UAUCUACAGGCUUAACACAUGCAAGUCGAGGGGCAGCAUGGUCUUAGCUUGCUAAGGCCGAUGGCGACCGGCGCACGGGUGAGUAACACGUAUCCAACCUGCCGUCUACUCUUGGACAGCCUUCUGAAAGGAAGAUUAAUACAAGAUGGCAUCAUGAGUCCGCAUGUUCACAUGAUUAAAGGUAUUCCGGUAGACGGUGGGGAUGCGUUCCAUUAGAUAGUAGGCGGGGUAACGGCCCACCUAGUCUUCGAUGGAUAGGGGUUCUGAGAGGAAGGUCCCCCACAUUGGAACUGAGACACGGUCCAAACUCCUACGGGAGGCAGCAGUGAGGAAUAUUGGUCAAUGGGCGAGAGCCUGAACCAGCCAAGUAGCGUGAAGGAUGACUGCCCUAUGGGUUGUAAACUUCUUUUAUAAAGGAAUAAAGUCGGGUAUGGAUACCCGUUUGCAUGUACUUUAUGAAUAAGGAUCGGCUAACUCCGUGCCAGCAGCCGCGGUAAUACGGAGGAUCCGAGCGUUAUCCGGAUUUAUUGGGUUUAAAGGGAGCGUAGAUGGAUGUUUAAGUCAGUUGUGAAAGUUUGCGGCUCAACCGUAAAAUUGCAGUUGAUACUGGAUAUCUUGAGUGCAGUUGAGGCAGGCGGAAUUCGUGGUGUAGCGGUGAAAUGCUUAGAUAUCACGAAGAACUCCGAUUGCGAAGGCAGCCUGCUAAGCUGCAACUGACAUUGAGGCUCGAAAGUGUGGGUAUCAAACAGGAUUAGAUACCCUGGUAGUCCACACGGUAAACGAUGAAUACUCGCUGUUUGCGAUAUACAGCAAGCGGCCAAGCGAAAGCGUUAAGUAUUCCACCUGGGGAGUACGCCGGCAACGGUGAAACUCAAAGGAAUUGACGGGGGCCCGCACAAGCGGAGGAACAUGUGGUUUAAUUCGAUGAUACGCGAGGAACCUUACCCGGGCUUAAAUUGCAGAUGAAUUACGGUGAAAGCCGUAAGCCGCAAGGCAUCUGUGAAGGUGCUGCAUGGUUGUCGUCAGCUCGUGCCGUGAGGUGUCGGCUUAAGUGCCAUAACGAGCGCAACCCUUGUUGUCAGUUACUAACAGGUUCCGCUGAGGACUCUGACAAGACUGCCAUCGUAAGAUGUGAGGAAGGUGGGGAUGACGUCAAAUCAGCACGGCCCUUACGUCCGGGGCUACACACGUGUUACAAUGGGGGGUACAGAGGGCCGCUACCACGCGAGUGGAUGCCAAUCCCCAAAACCUCUCUCAGUUCGGACUGGAGUCUGCAACCCGACUCCACGAAGCUGGAUUCGCUAGUAAUCGCGCAUCAGCCACGGCGCGGUGAAUACGUUCCCGGGCCUUGUACACACCGCCCGUCAAGCCAUGGGAGCCGGGGGUACCUGAAGUGCGUAACCGCGAGGAGCGCCCUAGGGUAAAACUGGUGACUGG
Molecule: ribosomal RNA, 1437 nt
Filed under: uncultured organism
Description: SSU rRNA
Rfam family: Bacterial small subunit ribosomal RNA
Source: RNAcentral